CAGAAAAAUAUUCACUUAAAAUUCUAUCUGUAUUAGUUAGGGUAUGAACCAAUCUUUUGUAACAAAAGAUCCCUAAAUACAGUAGCUCAAAUAAGAUAUCUGCUCAGAGUACUGCCCUCAUCUGCAUGGUUGAAGCUGGCUCACUGCCACAAUGGUCAAGGUCCAGCCCAAGGAUAAUGGAACGAAAUAGAGGGAUCUGCACACCCAAUUUGUUUAAAGCUGGCACGAAUGCUAAUCUCCAUGACUUAUCUGAUGAUGGUGUAAUUCAGAUCCUCAUCCCAAGGCCCUGGAGCAACCACCCAAGCUAUUCAUCCCUGCCCCUGAAUCCAUGUAUAUUCUAACGUUGGGCUAUUUCUCCUGCUGCACAAAGUGGAGGACCAGGUGCACCUCCCAAGGCUCUGCCCAUUGGAAGGAUAUUCUCUGAUCACUUCUCUUUCAAGGCCACCCAAGUGGGGGAAGGGUUCAACCACAAUACCAAACUGACUCAUCAUGAACCAAAUGUGGGCUUUUUUUCCUUUGCUAGCUGAUCAUAAGAGAUCAACCACGGUAGUACGAGCUGAAGAAGAGGCACCUGGACAGUAGUAGUGAAUGACAUGGAGUCCAGGGUACCUACUCACGCAGCUUGUUUGUACCCUCUGUUCCUGCUUGUGUUCAGUCCUGAAUGCACCACUUGCACAUUAUGAUGGAUUGUUGCUAAACUUGUCCAACCUUAUAACAUGGUUGAUCCGACGGAAACCAGUCCACAAAAGACAGUUGUGGCUACAGUACCACUUGGUACCUCAGUGCUUGGUUCUUCAUCUCUCUCAGGGAUCUGCAGCAUGCCAGGAGCUGUUUUUCAAAAGGUGUAUCACUUUCUGCUGCAUAUUCUGCCAUGCUCCAGAACUCCACAAGUCUGCAUUGUGAGUCUUUCAUCGGAACUUGCCAUAAACUCCACAUAUCCUUAUAGUCCAUAUCAUGUCUUUUCCCACCACUGAUAUCUCUAAUACUCAAAUGUAUGGCAUUAUAUGCUAUGUACAGUAAAGUCAACUACAAUUUUUCCGAGUUUUAGCUGGUAUCAUAUCUUAAACACAAAUAUAUCAUUUUUCUUUUUCUUGACUCUAAACUUUUUUAUUCAAUCUCUUUGUUCAAAUUUUUCCAUAAUUAAUCUAAUUUAUGGGCUAGUGGAGGAGGUUAAAAAGAGGAUAGAAUCAUUAAAGAAAAAGGGCUCCAGAAGAUUAGAAGAGGGAGAAUUUACUUUCCUU
Molecule: long non-coding RNA, 1241 nt
Organism: Equus caballus (horse)
Lineage: Eukaryota; Metazoa; Chordata; Mammalia; Perissodactyla; Equidae
Source: Ensembl